CUGGAAACGGCUGCUAAUACCCCAUAUGCCGCGAGGUGAAAUGAAUUUCGCCUGAGGAUGAGCUCGCGUCUGAUUAGCUAGUUGGUGUAGGUAAUGGCUCACCAAGGCAUCGAUCAGUAGCUGGUCUGAGAGGAUGAUCAGCCACACUGGGACUGAGACACGGCCCAGACUCCUACGGGAGGCAGCAGUGGGGAAUUUUCCGCAAUGGGCGAAAGCCUGACGGAGCAACGCCGCGUGAGGGAUGAAG
This 247-nucleotide ribosomal RNA is filed under the name uncultured bacterium. Its description in RNAcentral is "partial 16S ribosomal RNA". It matches the Rfam family "Bacterial small subunit ribosomal RNA", at positions 150 to 413 of the family's 1533-position model. The record is from RNAcentral.